AAUUCGAUUAGAGUUUGAUCCUGGCUCAGAUUGAACGCUGGCGGCAUGCCUUACACAUGCAAGUCGAACGGCAGCACGGGAGCUUGCUCCUGGUGGCGAGUGGCGAACGGGUGAGUAAUACAUCGGAACGUACCCAGGAGUGGGGGAUAACGUAGUGAAAGUUACGCUAAUACCGCAUAUUCUGUGAGCAGGAAAGCGGGGGAUCGCAAGACCUCGCGCUCUUGGAGCGGCCGAUGUCGGAUUAGCUAGUUGGUGAGGUAAAAGCUCACCAAGGCGACGAUCCGUAGCAGGUCUGAGAGGAUGAUCUGCCACACUGGGACUGAGACACGGCCCAGACUCCUACGGGAGGCAGCAGUGGGGAAUUUUGGACAAUGGGGGCAACCCUGAUCCAGCCAUGCCGCGUGAGUGAAGAAGGCCUUCGGGUUGUAAAGCUCUUUCGGCGGGGAAGAAAUGGCAACGGCUAAUAUCCGUUGUUGAUGACGGUACCCGCAUAAGAAGCACCGGCUAACUACGUGCCAGCAGCCGCGGUAAUACGUAGGGUGCGAGCGUUAAUCGGAAUUACUGGGCGUAAAGCGUGCGCAGGCGGUUUCGUAAGACAGACGUGAAAUCCCCGGGCUCAACCUGGGAACUGCGUUUGUGACUGCGAGGCUAGAGUACGGCAGAGGGGGGUAGAAUUCCACGUGUAGCAGUGAAAUGCGUAGAGAUGUGGAGGAAUACCGAUGGCGA
Molecule: ribosomal RNA, 726 nt
Filed under: uncultured bacterium
Lineage: Bacteria
Description: bacterial SSU rRNA
Rfam family: Bacterial small subunit ribosomal RNA
Source: RNAcentral